This 28-nucleotide small RNA is filed under the name Bombyx mori (domestic silkworm). RNAcentral's name for it is "ovarian small RNA-26792". The record is from RNAcentral. Lineage: Eukaryota; Metazoa; Arthropoda; Insecta; Lepidoptera; Bombycidae.
UCCAGCAGAAUUAUCACUCGAUGGCGGU